Molecule: long non-coding RNA, 432 nt
Organism: Panicum virgatum (switchgrass)
Lineage: Eukaryota; Viridiplantae; Streptophyta; Magnoliopsida; Poales; Poaceae
Exons: 4
Source: RefSeq, a predicted model, not a curated record
AGGUGAUUCCCCCUCAUCUUUUGUUGUUCCUACGGUUAAUUCCGUGCAAGCUCUAGAUUUGUCUGCCGGUGCUCAUUCUUUGAUGAAUCGUCGCUGGUGGUUCCCCCGCCAGUGCAAGCACAGAUUGGUCCACAGAUGCAUAUCAACCCGAGUAGGGUGGUGUUCGAGCAGCUUCCGAUUUGGUUGUCAAUCGGAUUGGCGACGACGGUCACCAGGGAUCCAAUCUCCUCCGCUAUAGCUUGGGGUUCCUUCCCUGGAGCGGCAGUCUGAGGACACAAGGAGCAUAUUCCGUUGGGUCUCCUCUCCAAGACUUCAGAUGCUCCUGGUGCUCCUUGAAAAGCUCGGCUUAAGGCAUGAGAGAUGUGGUGGACACCACGAUCUCUAUUGACAGUGCCAUCUUUCAGCAGUACCCAUCAUCACCAUUAGGUGUUU